GCAGCGUGCCCUUCACGAUAUAGCAUGGCUGCUGUCAGCAAGGAUAGUAUGUUUGUGCGAUGCCUGUAGUCGUUCUCAUAUUUUACUUCAUAUUUACGAUUUCAUAUUUUACUUCACUGUACCUGCAGUGCAGGCAGAGGGGAUAUGGGUCGCGUCAGCCGAUAAAAGAAUCCAACGUGCCGACAGUGUCAGUCUGCAAGGUAUCUGUCCACGCCUGUGCCGCCUGCUCUGAAGAGCAUGGAGCCGAGGACACGACGACACGUCAAGGAAACGGUGCGCCUGGCCAUCUUCAUUAGUUUUUCCCGACUAAACGAGUACAAAAAUUAUGCGAAGCAUUAUGCGGGUAGCUGGCUGUCUAGCCUCCUUUGGUGUUGCGCAAAGUGUUACCAGAUGACAAUAUGUACGCCUCUGAUGAGCAACUGCGUGUGUGACGCGACGCUACGUGUGACUAUAACGACAAGACGACGGCGACACGACGGCUAUGGGGACGGUGUGUUCCUUGCACUCCGGCAUGGGUGGCAGAUGCAUGGCAUAAGCUGUCACAAAUAAUUAGAAAUGUGUGCCUUCGAUAAGGAUCUUGCUCACAACAAACGCCGAGGAGCAGCCUGAGCACCCGAUGCGUUCAUCGCCAUAGCCGCAACGUGACGCAGUGAUAGAGCGUGUUGCGCCUGGACACUGACAACAGUUUACUGACUUACGUGACGCAUCAUGUGCCACCAAAAAGAAUGUGUAAUGGUAGCCCUGCGAGUUGUCAGAUGUAGAAUCAGAAGUGUCUGGUUCCCAUUCUCCAGAAGCCGGCGCCGAGAGCGUUGAUAGAGUAUGUGCAUAUGGUAUAAGUGAGCUUUAAGACUCACAGCACCUUCAAAGCUGGGCUGCUUUCAUCUGCGCUUGGCCUGCUCUGAAAUCGUAAAAGUGGUGAAGGAACUGCAGACCCCAACGUGAAAGAUUUUUGACUGCGCAAACGUCGAUGAUUCCGCAAACAGAUGGCGGUACUAGUUAUACCAGCGCAAGGGGCGUCCUAUCCUCCAAAGGGUCCUUGCUUAGCCGUGUUAAAGGAUACCGCGCGACAUCCACAGAAGCCAGGCAAGCCUUCUACACAUAUUGAGACUUGGCGUGGCCUUUACCCAACGCUAUCACCAUCUUAUUGGCCGUGUGGAUAAAGCCCGAACCGUGAGAACUGCGCCAUACUGGAGACUAUAGACCUUGUGCUUUGCGUGCACCCGCAGCACUUGCGAGAAAGACACUCGAUGG
Dermacentor silvarum is the source of this 1251-nucleotide long non-coding RNA. RefSeq lists it as uncharacterized. The record is from RefSeq and is a predicted model, not a curated record. NCBI's taxonomy places the organism in Eukaryota, Metazoa, Arthropoda, Arachnida, Ixodida, Ixodidae. The transcript has 3 exons.